UGGGGAAUCUUGCACAAUGGAGGAAACUCUGAUGCAGCGACGCCGCGUGAGCGAUGAAGCCCUUCGGGGUGUAAAGCUCUUUCGUCAGGGACGAUUAUGACGGUACCUGGAGAAGCAGCUGCGGCUAACUACGUGCCAGCAGCCGCGGUAAUACGUAGGCAGCAAGCGUUGUUCGGAGUUACUGGGCGUAAAGGGUGCGUAGGCGGCUUUUUAAGUUUGGUGUGAAAUCUCCCGGCUCAACUGGGAGGGUGCGCCGAAUACUGAGAAGCUAGAGUGUGGGAGAGGAAAGUGGAAUUCCUGGUGUAGCGGUGAAAUGCGUAGAUAUCAGGAGGAACACCGGUGGUGUAAACGGCUUUCUGGACCAUAACUGACGCUGAGGCACGAAAGCGUGGGUAGCAAACA
This 402-nucleotide ribosomal RNA is filed under the name Candidatus Solibacter sp. RNAcentral describes it as "partial 16S ribosomal RNA". It matches the Rfam family "Bacterial small subunit ribosomal RNA", at positions 355 to 774 of the family's 1533-position model. RNAcentral also lists the same sequence under 1 other name. The record is from RNAcentral. Lineage: Bacteria; Pseudomonadati; Acidobacteriota; Terriglobia; Bryobacterales; Solibacteraceae.